RNAcentral lists this ribosomal RNA (368 nucleotides) under uncultured organism. RNAcentral describes it as "bacterial SSU rRNA". It matches the Rfam family "Bacterial small subunit ribosomal RNA", at positions 526 to 896 of the family's 1533-position model. The record is from RNAcentral.
CGGAGGGUGCAAGCGUUAUCCGGAUUCACUGGGUUUAAAGGGUGCGUAGGUGGGUUGGUAAGUCAGUGGUGAAAUCUCCGAGCUUAACUUGGAAACUGCCAUUGAUACUAUCAGUCUUGAAUAUUGUGGAGGUCAGCGGAAUAUGUCAUGUAGCGGUGAAAUGCUUAGAUAUGACAUAGAACACCAAUUGCGAAGGCAGCUGGCUACACAUAUAUUGACACUGAGGCACGAAAGCGUGGGGAUCAAACAGGAUUAGAUACCCUGGUAGUCCACGCCCUAAACUAUGGAUACUCGACAUACGCGAUACACUGUGUGUGUCUGAGCGAAAGCAUUAAGUAUCCCACCUGGGAAGUACGAUCGCAAGAUUG